CCCUUAGAUGUUCUGGGCCGCACGCGCGCUACACUGAUGCAUUCAACGAGUUUCUUCCUGGUCCGAGAGGAAUGGGUAACCUUUUGAAAGUGCAUCGUGAUAGGGAUAGACUAUUGCAAUUAUUGAUCUUCAACGAGGAAUUCCUAGUAGACGUAGUUCAUCAGACUGCAUCGAUUACGUCCCUGCCCUUUGUACACACCGCCCGUCGCUCCUACCGAUUGAAUGCUCAGGUGAGCCAUUCGGACUUUCAUCAUGCUGGUUUCCAGUUUUGAUGAAGGAAAGUCUUGCGAACCUUAUCAUUUAGAGGAAGGAGAAGUCGCAACA
Molecule: ribosomal RNA, 324 nt
Filed under: uncultured eukaryote
Lineage: Eukaryota
Description: partial 18S ribosomal RNA
Rfam family: Eukaryotic small subunit ribosomal RNA
Source: RNAcentral